GCAUAUCAAUAAGCGGAGGAAAAGAAACUAACAAGGAUUCCCCUAGUAACUGCGAGUGAAGCGGGAAAAGCUCAAAUUUAAAAUCUGGCGGUCUUUGGCCGUCCGAGUUGUAGUCUGGAGAAGCGUCUUCCGCGUUGGACCGUGUACAAGUCUCUUGGAACAGAGCGUCAUAGAGGGUGAGAAUCCCGUCUUUGACACGGACUACCAAUGCUUUGUGAUGCGCUCUCAAAGAGUCGCGUUGUUUGGGAAUGCAGCGCAAAAUGGGGGGUGAAUUCCUUCUAAAGCUAAAUAUUGGCGAGAGACCGAUAGCGAACAAGUACCGUGAGGGAAAGAUGAAAAGCACUUUGGAAAGAGAGUUAAACAGUACGUGAAAUUGCUAAAAGGGAAACGCUUGAAGUCAGUCGCGUCGUCCGGGACUCAGCUUUGCUUCGGCUUAGUGCACUUUCCGGUUGACGGGCCAGCAUCGAUUUUGACCGCUGGAAAAGGGCUGGAGGAAUGUGGCACCUUCGGGUGUGUUAUAGCCUUCAGUCGCAUACAGCGGUUGGGAUCGAGGAACGCAGCGCGCCUUAUGGCUGGGGUUCGCCCACAUUCGCGCUUAGGAUGCUGGCAUAAUGGCUUUAAACGACCCGUCUUGAAACACGGACC
Molecule: ribosomal RNA, 645 nt
Filed under: Trametes versicolor
Lineage: Eukaryota; Fungi; Basidiomycota; Agaricomycetes; Polyporales; Polyporaceae
Description: eukaryotic LSU rRNA
Rfam family: Eukaryotic large subunit ribosomal RNA
Source: RNAcentral